CCUACGGGUGGCAGCAGUGGGGAAUAUUGGGCAAUGGGCGCAAGCCUGACCCAGCAACGCCGCGUGAAGGAAGAAGGCCUUCGGGUUGUAAACUUCUUUUCUGAGGGACGAAGAAAGUGACGGUACCUCAGGAAUAAGCCACGGCUAACUACGUGCCAGCAGCCGCGGUAAUACGUAGGAGGCAAGCGUUAUCCGGAUUGAGUGGGUGUAAAGGGCGCGUAGGUGGGUAGGCAAGUCAGUAGCGAAAACUCAGGGCUCAACCUUGAGACUGCAAUUGAAACUGUUUUUCUUGAGUGCUGGAGGGGCAAUCGGAAUUACGAGUGUAGCGGUGGAAUGCGUAGAUAUUAGGAGGAACACCAGUGGCGAAGGCGGAUUGCUGGACAGUAACUGACGCUGAGGCGCGAAAGCGUGGGGAGCAAACAGGAUUAGAUACCCCAGUAGUC
RNAcentral lists this ribosomal RNA (443 nucleotides) under uncultured bacterium. Its description in RNAcentral is "partial 16S ribosomal RNA". It matches the Rfam family "Bacterial small subunit ribosomal RNA", at positions 338 to 795 of the family's 1533-position model. The record is from RNAcentral.